AUACGGAGGAUGCAAGCGUUAUCCGGAUUUAUUGGGUUUAAAGGGUGCGUAGGCGGUUUGCUAAGCGGGAGGUGAAAUGCCGGCGCUCAACGUCGGAAGUGCCUCCCGAACUGGUGGACUUGAAUGACUCUGCCGUGGGAGGAAUGUGUAGUGUAGCGGUGAAAUGCUUAGAGAUUACACAGAACACCGAUUGCGAAGGCAUCUCACGAAGGGUUGAUUGACGCUGAGGCACGAAAGCGUGGGGAUCAAACAGGAUUAGAUACCCUGGUAGUCCACGCAGUAAACGAUGAUGGCUAAUCGCUGGAUCCAUCGGUUCAGUGGCCAAGCGAAAGCGAUAAGCCAUCCACCUGGGGAGUACGACCGCAAGGUUGAAACUCAAAUGAAUUGACGGGG
This 393-nucleotide ribosomal RNA is filed under the name uncultured bacterium. RNAcentral describes it as "partial 16S ribosomal RNA". It matches the Rfam family "Bacterial small subunit ribosomal RNA", at positions 523 to 918 of the family's 1533-position model. The record is from RNAcentral.